Non-coding RNA from Camellia sinensis, 444 nucleotides. Lineage: Eukaryota; Viridiplantae; Streptophyta; Magnoliopsida; Ericales; Theaceae. The record is from RefSeq and is a predicted model, not a curated record.
UUGAGUCAAAGAAUAAUUAUUUUAAAUAUUUAUUUAGGAUAAGAUUGAAUUUAUAUAUAAUUAUUAAACGAGUCUGAAGUGAGACACGCGUCGGACCAUGUGUUGGCCGAUGAACGGCGUCGGCUCCCUAUAAAUAGGGAGAGCGAUCAAUUUGGAGAAGGGGAACGAAAGAAGAAAAGGAAAAAGAAGGAAGGAAAGGAAAGAAUGGAAAAAAAUAAGUAGAAACUGAAAGGUCUUUGAUAGUGGAAAGAAAGAUUAAUGUAUUAAAGAUAAGGAAUCAAUGCACUUCAGAAAUAGCUUUUUGGAAAGUCGGGUUACGGAAUAGACACACAGUAUUUCUUUAUGAUAUAUUUUUAUAUGUAAAUAUCGGCCUUUUUUGUCAGUAAAUUUUGUAAUAAAAAUAAAAACUCCAAUGAUUAUUUUGGUACCCUCAUUUAAAUAUUA